RNAcentral lists this ribosomal RNA (460 nucleotides) under uncultured bacterium. Its description in RNAcentral is "partial 16S ribosomal RNA". It matches the Rfam family "Bacterial small subunit ribosomal RNA", at positions 338 to 795 of the family's 1533-position model. The record is from RNAcentral.
CCUACGGGUGGCAGCAGUGAGGAAUAUUGGUCAAUGGCCGAGAGGCUGAACCAGCCAAGUCGCGUGAGGGAAGAAUGUCCUAUGGAUUGUAAACCUCUUUUGUCAGGGAGCAAAGUCACCCACGUGUGGGUGUUGGAGAGUACCUGAAGAAAAAGCAUCGGCUAACUCCGUGCCAGCAGCCGCGGUAAUACGGAGGAUCCGAGCGUUAUCCGGAUUCAUUGGGUUUAAAGGGUGCGUAGGUUGUUUUAUAAGUUAGCGGUGAAAUACCGAUGCUCAACAUCGGGGCUGCCGCUAAUACUGUAGGACUAGAGAUCGGAUGCAGCAGGCGGAAUGUGUAGUGUAGCGGUGAAAUGCAUAGAUAUUACACAGAACACCGAUUGCGAAGGCAGCUUGCUAGGCCGGAUCUGACACUGAUGCACGAAAGCGUGGGGAUCGAACAGGAUUAGAUACCCCAGUAGUC